RNAcentral lists this ribosomal RNA (396 nucleotides) under uncultured bacterium. RNAcentral's name for it is "partial 16S ribosomal RNA". It matches the Rfam family "Bacterial small subunit ribosomal RNA", at positions 523 to 918 of the family's 1533-position model. The record is from RNAcentral.
AUACGUAGGUGGCAAGCGUUGUCCGGAAUUAUUGGGCGUAAAGCGCAUGUAGGCGGUUUGGUAAGUCGGUCGUGAAAAUGCGGUGCUUAACGCCGUAUGGCGAUUGAAACUGCUGAACUUGAGUGCAGGAGAGGAAAGGGGAACUCCCAGUGUAGCGGUGAAAUGCGUAGAUAUUGGGAAGAACACCGGUGGCGAAGGCGCCUUUCUGGACUGUGUCUGACGCUCAGAUGCGAAAGCCAGGGUAGCGAACGGGAUUAGAUACCCCGGUAGUCCUGGCCGUAAACGAUGGGUACUAGGUGUGGGAGGUAUCGACUCCUUCCGUGCCGGAGUUAACGCAAUAAGUGAUCCACCUGGGGAGUACGGCCGCAAGGUUGAAACUCAAAUGAAUUGACGGGG